Molecule: non-coding RNA, 21 nt
Filed under: Arabidopsis thaliana (thale cress)
Lineage: Eukaryota; Viridiplantae; Streptophyta; Magnoliopsida; Brassicales; Brassicaceae
Source: RNAcentral
UCCACUUUCUGCCUCCCCUCG